Molecule: long non-coding RNA, 479 nt
Organism: Saccoglossus kowalevskii
Lineage: Eukaryota; Metazoa; Hemichordata; Enteropneusta; Harrimaniidae
Source: RefSeq, a predicted model, not a curated record
CUGAAAUCAAGGUCGCGCUGUUUUUCUUCGUCGUGUUUGUUGUUCUUACCUGGGAAGAAUAUUGGAAAUCAGGGACAUAAAGUCACUAUUCGCUUGACGCUGACAUCUAUAUACUGUUCCAUUGUCUGUAUAAUAUGAAGAAACUAGUGUUGCUUCUGAUCAUGUUACUUAUUGUGACUUCAUUCGUUGAUGGUGGUAGUUAUAUACGACGACGAAUGGUGAAACACCACGUAAACAAAAUCCAAAAAGACAAAAAGGUUUUGGAAGAAAGAAUAAAAGAAAUACAAGGUCGAGAAAGCGGAUGACACUAUGUCAAUCAAGAAAUGGAAAUACCAAUUUAUGUCGUUGUUGGUUUAUACAUGUACAUACUAUCUUGUUUAGAUGGUAGAUUAUGUCAAUAAAAAUACGGCCUUAUAAGCUGCAUAUCAUGUUAUGUUAAGCAGGAGGGUGUUAGUAAAGUUGUUUAAAUAUACAAUAAU